CAGCAGCCACGGUAAUACGAAGGGUGCAAGCGUUACUCGGAAUUACUGGGCGUAAAGCGUGCGUAGGUGGUGGUUUAAGUCCGUUGUGAAAGCCCUGGGCUCAACCUGGGAAUUGCAGUGGAUACUGGAUCACUAGAGUGUGGUAGAGGAUAGUGGAAUUUCCGGUGUAGCAGUGAAAUGCGUAGAGAUCGGAAGGAACAUCUGUGGCGAAGGCGACUAUCUGGGCCAACACUGACACUGAGGCACGAAAGCGUGGGGAGCAAACAGGAUUAGAUACCCGAGUAGUCCCUGUCUCUUAUAC
This 301-nucleotide ribosomal RNA is filed under the name uncultured bacterium. RNAcentral's name for it is "partial 16S ribosomal RNA". It matches the Rfam family "Bacterial small subunit ribosomal RNA", at positions 509 to 807 of the family's 1533-position model. The record is from RNAcentral.